Molecule: long non-coding RNA, 2710 nt
Organism: Rosa rugosa (rugosa rose)
Lineage: Eukaryota; Viridiplantae; Streptophyta; Magnoliopsida; Rosales; Rosaceae
Exons: 6
Source: RefSeq, a predicted model, not a curated record
AACUUGAGAUCUCUCCUCUCUGUUUAUUAUUUAGAUAUGGGUUAUCAUGUCCCUGUGGGUUUGAGAAAUGAAUUGUCUUUCCUUGAAUUCAAUUCUAGAUUUUUAAAUUUCAGUUAUUUUUAGAUUUUAUAUGGUCUGGGACUCUGGGUUUUUACUCUUUGUUUUCCAGUUGUUUACAGUGUGAUGCUGCAUCUUUAGUUAUUCACUUACUCAGUGGACUGUUUCUGUCUAGAUUGUUUUACUUUAUGUGAAAUGGAAGAUGGGUUGAAUAUGCAUUCUGAUUUCUUAAGCUACUCUGAUGGAUUUUGCGGUGUAGAUUAAUUAUUCUUAAAAUUCUGGCUUUUCUGGGUUGCAAGAAAAAGGUUAUUAGCAGAUUCUUCUGUAGGUCAAACCCAUUGUGUUUAUCGCUGCCAUUUAUCAGGCGAGUUCAUCUUGAGGAUGCUCUAAACAUUGCAACACAUUCCCUCGUUGAUAUGGAAGAGCUGAGGCAAGACUCGUAAAGGAAGCAAGACUGGCGGAGGAGGCCAGAGUUAUAGAGGAGACAGCCUAAACAGCAAAAGAGGAGGCUAAAACAGCUUAAGAGGCCGAGUCUGGGAACUUUGGUAUCCAUUUCUAGAUUACUAUUAUCUAUGCUACUACUAAAGUCUUAUAUUGGCUACAGUACUACCAUGACUCUUAAAUUUGCUUACGUAUGGAUUUAGUAGUGUUGAACGAGAUGAUAUUAAGGAACCUUUUACUGAGGUUUAAGUUGAAAUGCUGAAAGACAUAAUUAUAUUGUUGCUCAAUCGGAAUAUGCAUCAAUAAAUCUUAUAGACACAGGAUAUCGUUUCUAUACCCAACUAAAUGGAUUAAACCAGCCAUUCAACGUAAGUUUUUACUGAAGAACAUAACUAUAUCCAAUUUGUAAGACACCCACCUUGGUGUAGUUUUUUUUCCACAAUCUAGACAUAGACUUUGAAGUGGUUAGUCAAAAACUUCAAAUACGGCCUUUUAGUUUGGCAAGAAGUAGGUGUGGGAUUAGGAGAAGGAAGAUGUCACAAGGAUUGUGCUGCAUAAAGAUUUGGUGGUUAUGAGCAGUAAGUAUCGUCCUUAUUUCUUAUUGUGGCAUCCAUAGUGAGAAAGGUUGCUAGAAAUUUGUCCUUGUUGAUACCUAAAAAGCUACAUGUUCUCUUUUUAUUAUAAUUUUAUUUGCAUUUAAUUAGAAAUGCAUAUAUGGUUCCUGACCUGUUUUCUUCAUGUAUUUUUGACACUAAUAGGUAUCCAUGUUCAAGAAGAAUUACGAUCAUGUACCAAAAGAUACAUACUUUGGAAUGUACAAAGAAUCAACCCGUGGCAACCCAAACUACUUUCUGACUUAUGGAAAUGGGAAAUCAGUUGCUCGAAUCCAAGAUCAUUUCCAUCCUAAUGGUGCACACAGAUGGCACAAUUAUAUGAAAACCCCAAAUGAGAUCAAAUUGGAAGAGGCUGCUGUUCUACACUACAUAUAUGCCAAAUUUUCGGACUUAACAUCAAGACAUGAUCGGUGUGGCUGCAAGCCUACAAGAGAAUAUGUCAAAAGAUGCUUCAUGAUGGAAUUUGAUAGAACUGUACCAUGAACCCAUUGCUUGUCAUAAUAUGCUUUUGUUUAGGUUGUGAUUGCAGAUGCAUCACACGUCUAUAUGACUGGAGUCUAGAGGAUCGAUAACUUAAGAAGGAACUGGUUUGGUUGUUGUCGGUUGGUCUGGCCUAUUGCUCUUUCUUUGUAUGGGGUAGGUUCAGCAGGUCAAAGACAUAGACAAGUUGGGUUUUAUGGGUCUGGUUCAAGCAGAGCUUGUGUUGAUAGAAGACUGGUACAUUUUCAGAUUAGACCGGUGGGGAUUGGUGGAGGGUUGUCACUUGAGACAAGAAAACCAAUCAUACCAGUCGCGGGGUCUAGUCAAAUGCAGUGCUUCUGUAAUAUGUGCUUCUGCUUUGAAUGCCAGAUGUGCUACAGCACUACAAACCAAAUCUGUUACACACCAGGCUCCAACAAUCACAAGUCUUCCUCAUAAGGCAAAUACUUAAUUGUUUUUUUUUUAAAACAUGAGCAAAUACUUGUUGUUAAUUGCAUAUCUGGUGGCAUUGAAAAAGCUGGUGUUCUAAACGUUAGAGAACAGAAUGUAUUUCUUGUCUUCUUUGUUCAGUAGUUGAUAGUCCUUACAUAAUUGAUUAGAAUAGCACCGCCAAGCAAAAGCUUCUGUUCCUAUAUUUGAAUCUUUGAUCAUAUUAUUUAGGAAAACAAAAGCUUCUGUUCCUCGUCCUUUCAUUGUUCUCACCCUCUUCUUUAUUGUGAAACCAAAUUUGUUGCAUGAAUGAAUGCCUCAGGGACUUAAAAUUUUCAAUAAAGCUAUCAGGGAACUUAUCACUUGCCUUAGAGUAGAUUGAUAGCGACAACUAUCUUCUUUAUUUGAGCUAAAAGAUCAACUUCUUAUGUAAAUUAACUUCUGUUUUUGAUAUAUUACAUUUUUAUAAUAGUUGAACUAAGUAUCAAUGUUGAACUAGAGCUUUUGUUUUUCUUUAACAUGUCAUAAAUCUACUCUAAUAUUCCGCUUGUUUUCUGUUAAUUGUUAAUGUGUCUACAUAAUCAUUGUACUAGUUAUGUAAAGGAUAAAGUUGAUUCUGGCUAUAUGGUGUUUUAUCAUUGAGAUAACUUGACGAACAUGUACUAGAAGACACUUUCUUAUUGAGUUUC